GCGGUGGAAGUGGCCUAGACUGUGCUGGGAAGUGGCCAUUGACUAUGCUUCUUCCCUCUUUCAAGGAUGUGGCUUUGGACACGGYCCUGGCAAGUUCCCGCAUUGCUCCGUUGGGAUGGGAGGACGGUGAGACGUGGACGCCCAAGCCCCGUGUUCCCGAGGGACGUUAUCCCCACCGCCGGAUCCUGUCCUGGGCUGGAGCAGUUGCUGGAGAUGAAGGUGGGAGACCAGACACCUGGAUGCUGGAGGGAAUCCGGGAGCUGGACGAGCAGAAGCAACGUCACCGAGAGCAGCGUCCUUGAGGAAUAAAGCGCAGUGUUGAGCUGCUGCGAGAGCUGAGGCCCUCACCCCGCACCCGGGGCGUCUGACCUGUGUUUUGCCCUAAAACCAUGGAAAAAUGGGCUAAUCCAGGCAUCAGGAAUGGGGACUGCAGGUCUGGCUCCUCCCAGCUGAGGGCUCUCUCAUGCCUUUCGGAGCCCGGUGUUAUUUUCCUGGCUGCCAACCAGGGGAGGACGGAGUCCCAGCUGAGCUCUUUCCUCUGGGUCCAGGCAGGUGUCUCCCAGCUCUGGGGAGGAACGCGGAUUCGGACCCGARGGGCUGCUCGGGCGCUUCCCAGAUGUGCUACCUGGAGGCGGCGGUGGCCGACCUGCAAAGUCCGCCCGCCGUCCCCUUCUCCUUCCCCUUUUUGCUCCGGGCUCCAUCUCCCCUUGUGACAAAGGGACGAUCCGGGCUGCGGAGCCGCCGAGCCGCCCCGGCCCCGGAGAUGGCUGCGGCCGAGCCUGCCCAGGUAGGGACCGCCCGGCCGCGGGGGGGGCCCGGACCUGCUCGGGGGGGGGCACAGCCUGGAGCUUUCGUUCGUUAUUUAAUUCUUUUCCAGGUGCCCGAGGCUUUCGAAGAGGUGAUCGUCCUCGCCGCUGAUGCGCGCUGGGCUCUCCCGGACCCUGGGCAGCGAAACCACCCGGCUGCGCCUGCAGGUAGGGAACGGCUCCGCCACGCUUGGGGCAUCUUCCGCCUUUCCCCAGCCACUGCAAGAAAAGGCUCG
RNAcentral lists this long non-coding RNA (1042 nucleotides) under Dromaius novaehollandiae (emu). Its description in RNAcentral is "lncRNA (ENSDNVG00000014639.1)". The record is from RNAcentral. Lineage: Eukaryota; Metazoa; Chordata; Aves; Casuariiformes; Dromaiidae.